AAAAAUCUUACCAGUGAAUAAAUUUGGGUAUUUUUCUCAUAGCAUCCAAGGGUUCCCAUGUAGCUUCUUCAACCCCGUGUCAAUGCCAUAAUACUUUCACUAACACAAUUCUCUUAUUUAUUAGCUCUUUUAUCUCACAAGCUCAAAUUUGAAUAAGUUCUUUAGCAUAUGACAUAUCAGACUAAUUUUCAACCUCGGUCGGGGAAAUGACAUGUUAAGGGUCAGAUCGGUAUCUUCGAAGCAUCGACACAUGAAACACAUUAUGUAUUUUCUCUAACUCAGACGGUAAAGAUAGUCGAUAUGCCACUGGC
Molecule: long non-coding RNA, 311 nt
Filed under: Gossypium barbadense (sea-island cotton)
Lineage: Eukaryota; Viridiplantae; Streptophyta; Magnoliopsida; Malvales; Malvaceae
Description: long non-coding RNA (GBAR_LNC002240)
Source: RNAcentral